Triticum urartu is the source of this 701-nucleotide non-coding RNA. NCBI's taxonomy places the organism in Eukaryota, Viridiplantae, Streptophyta, Magnoliopsida, Poales, Poaceae. The record is from RefSeq and is a predicted model, not a curated record.
UGAGAAAGAAAAAAAUAUCGAGCCAUCGAGGGGUCAAGUUGUCGCCUGUCGAGCUAACCUACUAACUCCCGAGCGGUCGAGCCCUCUACCGCCGCCACGGCGCCACUGGCGCCCACCGCCAACCACCGCCUCGUCGCCGUCACACCUCGCCGGCCUACGCCCUCUAUCCCUCCACUCACAGAUCAGUGCCCCCCUACUCCUCCUGCUCGCCUUCCUCGUCCCCUCCUUGACGUCCUUGUGGGCGACGUCGGGCAUCAUCCGGCUGCCGUUCACCGGGGCCUGCGCUGCGCCGGCUGACCCGUCAUCUUCACGCACCCGGGCGAGGGGCGACAGAGCGGCCGGGAGGAUCAAAGCCUCCACCUCCUACAUGGGCGCCUCCUAAGUGAAGUUCGUCGAAGCCGGCGGCACCCGCGCCAUCCGGCUCAUCUACAACGAGCCCGCGAGCGCCUCCUCGAGAUCAAGGUAUAGGCUGACUACUACCGCCAUGAGAACUCGGUGACAUCCAUCAUCGGCAGAUGGCGUCACGCAAUCCCGGCUUGGAAUCGAUUAUCACCCUUAAUUCAACUCCGUUUGUUAUUACCUCUGUACUUAAAGUGUUGGUAGUGCAGAAUAUGUAAGUUGUCAAGUGUAAUAUUUGUGCUUCAGAAUCUGUGUUUUGUACUAAUACAUGUUAUGAAGUUGUCAAGUGUUCAUCAAUUUAA